This 96-nucleotide non-coding RNA is filed under the name Chromera velia. Lineage: Eukaryota; Chromeraceae. The record is from RNAcentral.
CGGGUGAGGAGAAAGCAAGAAAGAGAGACACAGGCGGAGAGUAGACGGCAGGACUUUCACAGAAAAGAACCAUCCUGCCGUCUUUAAUUCUCGCCA